CCUACGGGAGGCAGCAGUGGGGAAUAUUGCACAAUGGGGGAAACCCUGAUGCAGCGACGCCGCGUGAGUGAAGAAGUCAUUCGUGAUGUUAAGCUCUAUUAGCAGGGAAGUAAAUGACGCUACCUGACUGAGAAGCCCCGGCUAACUACGUGCCGGCAGCCGCGGUAAUACGGAGGGGGCAAGCGUUAUCCGGAUUUACUGGGCGUAAAGGGAGCGUAGUCGGCAGCGCAAGUCAGAAGUGAAAGCCCGGGGCCCAACCUCGGGACUGCAUUGGAAACUGUGAAGCUUGAGUUCAGGAGGGGCAGGCGGAAUUCCUGGUGUAGCGGUGAAAUGCGUAGAUAUCAGGAGGAACACCGACGGCGAAGGCGGCUUGCUGGACCGUAACUGACGUUGAGGCUCGAAAGCGUGGGGAGCAAACAGGAUUAGAUACCCCUGUAGUC
RNAcentral lists this ribosomal RNA (440 nucleotides) under uncultured bacterium. RNAcentral describes it as "partial 16S ribosomal RNA". It matches the Rfam family "Bacterial small subunit ribosomal RNA", at positions 338 to 795 of the family's 1533-position model. The record is from RNAcentral.